This 72-nucleotide transfer RNA is filed under the name Pangasianodon hypophthalmus (striped catfish). RNAcentral's name for it is "tRNA-Glu". The record is from RNAcentral. Lineage: Eukaryota; Metazoa; Chordata; Actinopteri; Siluriformes; Pangasiidae.
UCCCUAGAAGAUUAGUGGUUAGGCCACGGCACUCUCAGUGCUGCGGACUGGGUUAAAUUCCAGGCCAGGGAU